RNAcentral lists this ribosomal RNA (460 nucleotides) under uncultured bacterium. Its description in RNAcentral is "partial 16S ribosomal RNA". It matches the Rfam family "Bacterial small subunit ribosomal RNA", at positions 338 to 795 of the family's 1533-position model. The record is from RNAcentral.
CCUACGGGGGGCUGCAGUGAGGAAUAUUGGUCAAUGGACGAGAGUCUGAACCAGCCAAGUAGCGUGAAGGAUGACUGCCCUAUGGGUUGUAAACUUCUUUUAUAUGGGAAUAAAAUGUUCCACGUGUGGGAUUUUGUAUGUACCAUAUGAAUAAGGAUCGGCUAACUCCGUGCCAGCAGCCGCGGUAAUACGGAGGAUCCGAGCGUUAUCCGGAUUUAUUGGGUUUAAAGGGUGCGUAGGUGGAUUGUUAAGUCAGUUGUGAAAGUUUGCGGCUCAACCGUAAAAUUGCAGUUGAAACUGGCAGUCUUGAGUACAGUAGAGGUGGGCGGAAUUCGUGGUGUAGCGGUGAAAUGCUUAGAUAUCACGAAGAACUCCGAUUGCGAAGGCAGCUCACUGGACUGCAACUGACACUGAGGCUCGAAAGUGUGGGUAUCGAACAGGAUUAGAUACCCCAGUAGUC